GUGCUCACUUCAGCAGCAUGUAUACUAAAAUUGGGAUGAUACAGAGAUUAGCAUAGAACCUGUGCAAGAAUAAUGCCCAAAUUCAUGGCACAUUCCAUAUUUUU
Molecule: small nuclear RNA, 104 nt
Organism: Fukomys damarensis (Damara mole-rat)
Lineage: Eukaryota; Metazoa; Chordata; Mammalia; Rodentia; Bathyergidae
Source: Ensembl